This 456-nucleotide ribosomal RNA is filed under the name uncultured bacterium. RNAcentral's name for it is "bacterial SSU rRNA". It matches the Rfam family "Bacterial small subunit ribosomal RNA", at positions 340 to 786 of the family's 1533-position model. The record is from RNAcentral.
UACGGGCGGCAGCAGUGGGGAAUAUUGCACAAUGGGCGCAAGCCUGAUGCAGCCAUGCCGCGUGUAUGAAAAAGGCCUUCGGGUUGUAAAGUACUUUCAGUCGUGAGGAAGGUGUUAAGGUUAAUAACCUUAGCAAUUGACGUUAGCGACAGAAGAAGCACCGGCUAACUCCGUGCCAGCAGCCGCGGUAAUACGGAGGGUGCGAGCGUUAAUCGGAAUUACUGGGCGUAAAGGGCACGCAGGCGGUUAAUUAAGUUGGAUGUGAAAUCCCCGGGCUUAACCUGGGAAUGGCAUUCAAGACUGGUUAGCUAGAGUCUUGUAGAGGGGGUUAGAAUUCCAUGUGUAGCGGUGAAAUGCGUAGAGAUGUGGAGGAAUACCGGUGGCGAAGGCGGCCCCUGGGACAAAGGACUGACGCUCAUGUGCGAAAGCGUGGGGAGCAAACAGGGAUUAGAUACC